UGAGGAAUAUUGGUCAAUGGGCGCAAGCCUGAACCAGCCAUCCCGCGUGCAGGAAGACGGCCCUAUGGGUUGUAAACUGCUUUUCCAGGGGGAGAAUUUUUCUGUCGUGACAGGAAUUGACGGUACCCGGGGAAUAAGCAUCGGCUAACUCCGUGCAAGCAGCCGAGGUAAUACGGAGGAUGCGAGCGUUAUCCGGAUUUAUUGGGUUUAAAGGGUGCGUAGGCGGAUAGAUAAGUCAGUGGUGAAAACCUGCAGCUUAACUGUAGACUUGCCGUUGAUACUGUCAGUCUUGAGUAUGGUCAAGGUAGGCGGAAUGUGUAAUGUAGCGGUGAAAUGCUUAGAUAUUACACAGAACACCGAUUGCGAAGGCAGCUUGCUGGGCCAUUACUGCCGCUGAGGCACGAAAGCGUGGGGAUCAAACA
This 422-nucleotide ribosomal RNA is filed under the name uncultured prokaryote. RNAcentral describes it as "bacterial SSU rRNA". It matches the Rfam family "Bacterial small subunit ribosomal RNA", at positions 355 to 774 of the family's 1533-position model. The record is from RNAcentral.